Molecule: ribosomal RNA, 264 nt
Filed under: Enterobacter hormaechei
Lineage: Bacteria; Pseudomonadati; Pseudomonadota; Gammaproteobacteria; Enterobacterales; Enterobacteriaceae
Also listed under: 3 other names
Description: partial 23S ribosomal RNA
Rfam family: Bacterial large subunit ribosomal RNA
Source: RNAcentral
AUCGUACCCCAAACCGACACAGGUGGUCAGGUAGAGAAUACCAAGGCGCUUGAGAGAACUCGGGUGAAGGAACUAGGCAAAAUGGUGCCGUAACUUCGGGAGAAGGCACGCUGAUAUGUAGGUGAAGUCCCUGCGGACGGAGCUGAAAUCAGUCGAAGAUACCAGCUGGCUGCAACUGUUUAUUAAAAACACAGCACUGUGCAAACACGAAAGUGGACGUAUACGGUGUGACGCCUGCCCGGUGCCGGAAGGUUAAUUGAUGGG